RNAcentral lists this ribosomal RNA (345 nucleotides) under uncultured Desulfovibrio sp. RNAcentral's name for it is "bacterial SSU rRNA". It matches the Rfam family "Bacterial small subunit ribosomal RNA", at positions 1034 to 1382 of the family's 1533-position model. Lineage: Bacteria; Pseudomonadati; Thermodesulfobacteriota; Desulfovibrionia; Desulfovibrionales; Desulfovibrionaceae. The record is from RNAcentral.
ACAGGUGCUGCAUGGCUGUCGUCAGCUCGUGUCGUGAGAUGUUGGUUAAGUCCGCAACGAGCGCAACCCUCGCCUUUAGUUGCCAGCAUUCAGUUGGGCACUCUAAAGGGACUGCCGGUGUCAAACCGGAGGAAGGUGGGGAUGACGUCAAGUCCUCAUGGCCUUUAUGUCUAGGGCUACACACGUACUAUAAUGGCAGGUACAAAGGGCAGCGACACAGCGAUGUGAUGCGAAUCCCGAAAAGCCUGUCUCAGUCCGGAUCGGAGUCUGCAACUCGACUCCGUGAAGUUGGAAUCGCUAGUAAUCGUGGAUCGGCAUGCCACGGUGAAUACGUUCCCGGGCCUU